GGCCUCGUAGCUCGGUUGGUAGAGCAUGCGCGUACAACGCGUAGCCGGCGUCCAUGCGUGGGUUCGAAUCUCACCGAGGCUA
Molecule: transfer RNA, 82 nt
Filed under: Echinostoma caproni
Lineage: Eukaryota; Metazoa; Platyhelminthes; Trematoda; Plagiorchiida; Echinostomatidae
Rfam family: tRNA
About the family: Transfer RNA (tRNA) molecules are approximately 80 nucleotides in length.
Source: Rfam by way of RNAcentral